CUACGCACUCCUACGGGAGGCAGCAGUGGGGGAAUAUUGCACGAAUGGGCGCAAGCCUGAUGCAGCCAUGCCGCGUGUAUGAAGAAGGCCUUCGGGUUGUAAAGUACUUUCAGCAGUGAGGAAGGUGGGUAUGUUAAUAGCAUAUUCAUUUGACGUUAGCUGCAGAAGAAGCACCGGCUAACUCCGUGCCAGCAGCCGCGGUAAUACGGAGGGUGCGAGCGUUAAUCGGAAUUACUGGGCGUAAAGCGCAUGCAGGUGGUUUGUUAAGUCAGAUGUGAAAGCCCGGGGCUCAACCUCGGAAUUGCAUUUGAAACUGGCAAACUAGAGUACUGUAGAGGGGGUAGAAUUUCAGGUGUAGCGGUGAAAUGCGUAGAGAUCUGAAGGAAUACCGGUGGCGAAGGCGGCCCCCCUGGACAGAUACUGACACUCAGAUGACGAAAGCGGUGGGGAGCAAACAGGAUUAGAUACCCUGGUAG
RNAcentral lists this ribosomal RNA (476 nucleotides) under uncultured bacterium. RNAcentral describes it as "bacterial SSU rRNA". It matches the Rfam family "Bacterial small subunit ribosomal RNA", at positions 329 to 793 of the family's 1533-position model. The record is from RNAcentral.